This 464-nucleotide ribosomal RNA is filed under the name uncultured Klebsiella sp. RNAcentral's name for it is "bacterial SSU rRNA". It matches the Rfam family "Bacterial small subunit ribosomal RNA", at positions 338 to 795 of the family's 1533-position model. Lineage: Bacteria; Pseudomonadati; Pseudomonadota; Gammaproteobacteria; Enterobacterales; Enterobacteriaceae. The record is from RNAcentral.
CCUACGGGUGGCUGCAGUGGGGAAUAUUGCACAAUGGGCGCAAGCCUGAUGCAGCCAUGCCGCGUGUGUGAAGAAGGCCUUCGGGUUGUAAAGCACUUUCAGCGGGGAGGAAGGCGUUAAGGUUAAUAACCUUGGCGAUUGACGUUACCCGCAGAAGAAGCACCGGCUAACUCCGUGCCAGCAGCCGCGGUAAUACGGAGGGUGCAAGCGUUAAUCGGAAUUACUGGGCGUAAAGCGCACGCAGGCGGUCUGUCAAGUCGGAUGUGAAAUCCCCGGGCUCAACCUGGGAACUGCAUUCGAAACUGGCAGGCUAGAGUCUUGUAGAGGGGGUAGAAUUCCAGGUGUAGCGGUGAAAUGCGUAGAGAUCUGGAGGAAUACCGGUGGCGAAGGCGGCCCCCUGGACAAAGACUGACGCUCAGGUGCGAAAGCGUGGGGAGCAAACAGGAUUAGAUACCCCAGUAGUC